UACGUAGGGUGCGAGCGUUAAUCGGAAUUACUGGGCGUAAAGCGUGCGCAGGCGGUUAUUUAAGACAGGUGUGAAAUCCCCGGGCUUAACCUGGGAAUUGCGCUUGUGACUGGAUAGCUAGAGUGCGGCAGAGGGGGGUGGAAUUCCACGUGUAGCAGUGAAAUGCGUAGAGAUCGGGAGGAACAUCAGUUGCGAAGGCGGCUCUCUGGACCAGCACUGACACUGAGGCACGAAAGCGUGGGGAGCAAACAGG
This 253-nucleotide ribosomal RNA is filed under the name uncultured bacterium. RNAcentral's name for it is "partial 16S ribosomal RNA". It matches the Rfam family "Bacterial small subunit ribosomal RNA", at positions 524 to 776 of the family's 1533-position model. The record is from RNAcentral.